Molecule: ribosomal RNA, 209 nt
Filed under: uncultured bacterium
Lineage: Bacteria
Description: partial 16S ribosomal RNA
Rfam family: Bacterial small subunit ribosomal RNA
Source: RNAcentral
UUCGGAUCGCAGGCUGCAACCCGCCUGCGUGGAGUCGGAAUCGCUAGUAAUCGCGGAUCAGCAUGCCGCGGUGAAUACGUUCCCGGGCCUUGUACACACCGCCCGUCACACCAUGAGAGUCGGGAACACCCGAAGUCCGUAGCCUAACAGCAAUGAGGGCGCGGCCGAAGGUGGGUUCGAUAAUUGGGGUGAAGUCGUAACAAGGUACC